Molecule: long non-coding RNA, 3317 nt
Organism: Phyllostomus discolor (pale spear-nosed bat)
Lineage: Eukaryota; Metazoa; Chordata; Mammalia; Chiroptera; Phyllostomidae
Exons: 2
Source: RefSeq, a predicted model, not a curated record
ACUUGAACAACAAUAAAAAAUAUAAAUAAAUAAGAAGCAACCAGUUUUACUAAUUGUUAUAAAUAAGAGUUGAGUUCUGAUGGCAUAUUUCUAGUCAUAAAAACACCAAACUUCUAAAUAAAGACCCAAAACAUUUCUAAUAUUAAACAUUGAAAUAAAUGUGAACUAUACAUGCACUUAAGAAAGAUUAAUAAAAACAAAAACAAGAUUAUUAUUUUCCAACCUGCCUAUGCCAGUUCAGGGUCAUGGUGGCUAGAGUCAGUCCUGGUAGCUUAGGGUACAAGGCAGGACUAGCCCUGGACAAGACAUCCUUCCAUUGCGGAGCCUCUCCCUACACCCACACUCACUCAGACUGGGACCAUUUAGAUACAACGGUCCACCUCAUGUGCACAUCUUUUGGAUGUGGGAGGAACCCGAGUCUGUGAAGAAAAUCCACACAGAUGAUGGUGAAAAGUGGAAACUCCGCACAGUAGCCCCAGCAGGGAAUCAAUUUUUUUUCUAGUUAAUGUUAAAAUGAAAUAGCAUUGAAUAAAAGAAAGCUAUUUGAGGGCCUGAUGUAUAUCAAAUCAUCACAUUGUACAUCCUAAGCAUAUACAAUAUUAUAUGUGCAUCAUAUCUCAAUAAAGCUGGAAAAAACAUUAGCAAGUGUUAAUAUCAUAUCUUAUCUAAAAGGGAGGUUUUUGUCUAUGGCAAUACUAACUAUGAUGACAUCUAACAUUGGAAAGAAGUUAUUGGUCCAGAAGCUGGACCUACACUUUCUCUGUGAGAGGGCUUGGCACAGUGACAUCCACAGCAGUUGUGGAAAUGCCACUGUGGAGACAGUGAGGCUUGGAUGCACAACAGAGUUUUCAUUCAAAAUCAGGUUCUUUUUCGCUGGUCUCCCAAGUUAUUUCCAGACGUUAGCCACUUACAGAAAUAAUAAAUCUUCUCUCAUUUGGAAAUUAAAAAUAUGUUUUUUGACUUGAAACACAGCACAAAUAUUCCUUGGCUUCAUUUUGUUUUGUACCUGGUGAGCUUACUAUUGCUCUUAUCCUUUAUACAGACCUGUCACUGGUUUCAUAUGUGAGGUGUCUGAGCAUGAAGUGCCCAACUCACACUUUGCAAUAGUAUCUGUAACGGUUUUAUCGUCUCUUCCAUGUUAAUGAAACCCACAGCUAAACAACUAAUGCCCUGUACUCAUUGCUUGUCCUCAGAGCUGAGUGUUUCAGGUCUAAUUCUCUUUAGAACACAGCUGGCAUGGAGUGUUCAAAAGCUCCUUUGGUUACUUUAACCACUUACAUACUAAUUUGGUGGCAUGGAAAGCAUUAGGCUGUGUCCAAACAAACAGCACAAAGCAGAAUAUUUAGCAAUUUUCUGAACAUUAUCAAUGGAGUAAGUCAUUUUGGUUGAUGUUUCUAGUUAAAAAACAGAUGUUUGAGUUGUCAAGAUGCUUCAAACUAAGUGUUUGUUGAAAUAAACAUUAGCUUAGCAGAUUCCUUUCAUUGCAGAAGCAUUCUAAACAACAGGCAAGGUGUAAAAUUUGGAAAUCUGUGGGCCUUGAAGAAACUAGGAAUGCUGUAAAAGAUUAUGUAGUUUUCCAAAUGAGUUGUAAGUAUAGCCAGACUUGGGACAUGAUUAUUAUAUUAAUGAAUGAGGGAAUGAAUGGUUAAAUUUUGUAACCAUUUUGGCCUAUACUGGAUCGAUUAGAUAAAUUUUGUAUUCUUACUAUAUGUGAGUUCUGUAGAUACCCUUCCUUGUUUACUCAGCUCUUCUUGUACAUAUUAGAUAUUUGACCCUGCAAGUAAUGACCCAAGUGACCCCUUUCGUGUGGGCCCAUACACACUUACAGUGAUCCCAUUUGAAGGUUUCACCUUUACUACCUUAUUGCUAAUGCUGAUGUAAAAGUUUGGUCUGUAGGCACCCAUAACACAACUGGCAAGCAGGGUAACCUUUCAAGCAAUGUGGAAACUGCUGUUCAUUGGAAGAAACAUAAGUAUUCAUGGGACAUUUAGUAUGUGCCUAACAGUUUGCUAGAUUUUAUGAAAAACAGCUUCACCCAUGGGGAGCGGACAACCUAAUUGGAGGAAAAAUCCAACUCACAUGGAACAAUUAGAAGAAAUGAAAGGUAUUAUGUGGUACAGGUUAUUAGAGCCAAGGAUAAUAAGGUGUUAAUUGUGUGGGAUAGACAGUAAAUCUCAAAGGAGUGGAAGACCGUGGAGAUCAACAUGGGCUGAGGUCACCCGGAAAGCCUUUCAAAACAAACCAGCAAUCUUUAUAAGCCCCUUCUGUGUUCAGAGCAUUGUGGAGCUAGGGAGAAGGGUGAUCACAGAGAUGGGACUUAAGCAGGAUCUGAGAGGAUGAGAAGAGUACUGACAGGCCAAGAAGAGAAGAGUGAAACCCUUGGGAACCAGGAAUUCAAACAUGAAAAGAAGCAGCAAACGGGAAGCUAGCUACUCCUGGGAAAUGAUGCCUCAUUAUCCUUUGUAUUCAUGCUGACAGGAAAGACUUGACAAGUUGUGACUGUUUCUUAACCUAAACGCUUCUGCUGCCCCAAAAGCCCCACCCUCCAAAGAUGUGUCCCCUGACCUCCAGAAGACAGCUUCCCACCCUCAGGAUGAAGCCAGUUCUGUCUCCCAAGACUCAAGGCAAGACAUCAGGGGAAUCACCCCACUGGAGCCUGAAUAGUGCUCCUCACAUAGUGGUUGGAUGUUUAGGGUGGUUUGUGGGGCUGUGCAGCACUGAGCACUGAGUUCCAAGGGACCACGUGUCCUCUAAAUAUAUUUUGUGUGUGUUUGUGACCCUCAUGGCUCCCCAAAGUGCAAGGCCCAGGCUCCAAGGCUGGUGAUGCUCCUGAGCGUCACUUGUGAUUGAGGUCUCCACAGAUUGCAAGAGUGGAAGGACCCCUCAGGAUGAUGUAGUGGGUGAGGGCUGGUGUCAGAGGGAGAGGCUGCCAGCAUGAAGUCUUUACCUGUAAAUAUUUCCCAUUGUGAAAUAGCCUGGUCUUCAUAAAGUCACCAGAUUCUACCAGGAGACAAUAAAAGAUUACAAGGGUCCAAAUAAAUAUGUAACAAAGUGGAGUCGGAAACUGGGAGAAAAUGAGGUGAAACACAAGAGAAUGAUGAUCAGAAAUAGGGAAUGAAAACCAGUCAAAAAUGGAGACACCUGAAAAGCAGCUCUGGAAACUUCACUCACUACUGCUGUACAAGAGACCUGCUCUAGUCACAGCUGCCAAUGUGACAAUAUUUGGCUGUUUUGUAUUUACACUGAAGUACAGAGACUUUGGAAACCUUCAAGAGUGAAUUCAGUACCAGAGAACAGUAUUUAAAAAAAAAAAAAAA